RNAcentral lists this ribosomal RNA (463 nucleotides) under uncultured bacterium. RNAcentral describes it as "bacterial SSU rRNA". It matches the Rfam family "Bacterial small subunit ribosomal RNA", at positions 200 to 644 of the family's 1533-position model. The record is from RNAcentral.
GGAGAAGCAGGGGAUCGCAAGACCUUGCGCUUUUGGAGCGGCCGAUGCCUGAUUAGCUUGUUGGUGAGGUAAAAGCUCACCAAGGCUCCGAUCAGUAGCUGGUCUGAGAGGACGACCAGCCACACUGGGACUGAGACACGGCCCAGACUCCUACGGGAGGCAGCAGUGGGGAAUUUUGGACAAUGGGGGCAACCCUGAUCCAGCCAUGCCGCGUGAGUGAAGAAGGCCUUCGGGUUGUAAAGCUCUUUCAGCCGGAACGAAACGGUCACGGUUAACACCCGUGACUACUGACGGUACCGGAAGAAGAAGCACCGGCUAACUACGUGCCAGCAGCCGCGGUAAUACGUAGGGUGCGAGCGUUAAUCGGAAUUACUGGGCGUAAAGCGUGCGCAGGCGGUUUUGUAAGUCAGAUGUGAAAUCCCCGGGCUUAACCUGGGAACUGCGUUUGAAACUACAAGGCUAG